AUGGCUUCGCAGGGCCGCCGGAGGGCGGACGCUGGGUCGGGGCAGCGCGCGCAAAGAGCGGUUCAGCCAGCGGCUCGCCCAGGGGACGCGCGUGGCCGGGAGGCUCGGGGCGAAGCCAGCUGUGUCCCCCGCGCGGCACCGGCGCACACCCGCGAGCUCGGCCCUGCGCCCGCUGUGGGCUCUUCCCCCUGCGAACCUCCCUACCCUCCCGCGCAGGGUCCUGCGGAGCGACGCCGGGGCAGGGGCCGAGCCUGGCCACGGGGCCGGGCCCUGCAGGAGGCCAGGAGCAGCGCUGGCACCAAAGCGCUUUUUUUUUGGCCGUGCAGCUUGCCUGGCCGGUUCCCGUGCCGCCGCCACCACCACCUGGGGCCGGGCGAUCUGUCACGGCUGCAGGUGGCCUUUCUGUUUUUAGCCUGUGCUUCGAGGCUGCUCCUGCGAGGCUGCAGGACUCCUGACGCUUUUUGCUUCUUUGCCCCACCUUUGCUGGAGGUUACGUUAUCCGGAGCUGGCUUGUUCUCUCUGGGCACCACAAGGCGGGCGGCAGCUGGUGGUAAGGCAGGAACCAGAGAGAACUGUAACCCCCAUGUAAACCAGCAGCUCUUCACUGCUGGCGAACGGUUACAUGUGGGAUUUACAGGCCAGGGGAGGAGGUGGAGGGAGAAGCAGGCCGUUAUUCACGGCAGAGCUGCUGGCACGGAUGCGCCGGGAUCGCACCCCUCCAGCAGCUGCAGGGCCAGCGAGGAGCAGCCGCCCUGGCCCGGCCUCAGGGACCACAGCGCGGUCGGGGCGCCAGGCUCGGCAGGGACGCUCCUGCCCGGCCUCCAGUGCAGGGAGACGGGGCCGGCGCUCACCCACAGGAAGCACGCGCAGGUUGGCCCUGGCAAGGCGUCCCGAGGUCACUGUGUGCCGGCAUGGCUAUGUUGGCCCCCAGGACCCCAUAACCGCGUCGGGGAGCUGCUCCAAGUCCCGACCCGUGACUCAAGCCAGCCGAGGAGCUGGGGCUCAGCCAGAGCCGAGGGGAGCAGAAGGGCCGUGUGGUGCUGCCACCAGUCAGUGAGAGCCCAGCGGCACCAUGUGCUGUGCUGGCAGCCAGUUUCCCUGGCUUUUGGGGGUUGUUUUGUUUUGUUUUCCAGCAGAUGUUUGCUCUUUUCCUCUGUAAGCACCAGAAGUCUCCCUUUUGCUCAGAAACAGUUACGUUCUCCAAGCUUAUCAGUCAGGACUUGUCCCUUCUAA
Molecule: long non-coding RNA, 1233 nt
Filed under: Apteryx haastii (Great spotted kiwi)
Lineage: Eukaryota; Metazoa; Chordata; Aves; Apterygiformes; Apterygidae
Description: lncRNA (ENSAHAG00000012727.1)
Source: RNAcentral